Non-coding RNA from Notechis scutatus (mainland tiger snake), 233 nucleotides. NCBI's taxonomy places the organism in Eukaryota, Metazoa, Chordata, Lepidosauria, Squamata, Elapidae. The record is from RefSeq and is a predicted model, not a curated record.
CCUAAUGCAUUUUAAAGUUGAAUCUGACAUCUAAAAAAAGCAUGUGAAAUGUUUUUCAUCAAGUGUCUUCCUUAUGAAGGACAAUAUUGAUAAACAUGUGCUACGCACACAUUUUUGAACCAGCAAAUCACCCUCAAAGGCAGAGGUCUCCAAACUUGGCAACUUUAAGACUUGUGGACUUCAACUCCCAGAAUUCUCCAGCCAGCUAUGUUGCCAGAUUUGGAGACCUCUGC